UGACUCUCAUUCUAUCAGCGGGGGAGUCCAUAUCAAAGGAUAGGUUAGGCAAACACUUAAAUAAUACUAUUUUAAUAUCAAAUUAUUUUGCAUGAUUAUUCUAUGUAUAUGUAUAUAUGGAAAACUAGCAGCUUCAGAUAUGGAAAUAGCCAACGUUCCACAUUGGAGCACCAGACUCAUCCGCGAGUCCAUCGAAAUAGAGAAGAACGGUACCUUCAACAAGAGAGAUGACGCCCUGCACUUGUCAGCCACUUGGAAAACGGUCCUACACCGUCCCCGAUCCGGAGCAGCCUUCCUGAGGGAGGGGAUUUUGGGCAGACCAUAGAGUUUGGGGCACCUGCUUGAUUUUUCCCGAGGGAUUAAGGUUUUCUUGAUCUCGGGGCCUAUUGGAGAUGCCUCUAUUAUCGAUUUGGUGGUUUUUUUCCAGCUCGACCUCUAGCUCUUCCAGGGAUGCGUUCUUCUUCCGAAAGGUUUUCUUCUUAGAAGAAACAACAUAUGCUUGUAUAAAGCUAGAUCUACACGAUACGCGAACUGGUUCGCCACUUCAUUGAAGUAUCUCUAGCCAAGUACCCCUACCUCAAGUACCUCUAUCUCUAUCUCAAGUACCUCUAUCACUACCUCAAGUAUCUCUAUCUGAAGUACCUCUACCUCAAGUACUAUAAUAAAUGUUUCAAUAUUUUAUUUAGGAUGGACUUUAAUGGAAAUCCUCUACUCUCCGCUCAAGCUCGACCUUUUAAUAUAUUUUGUUUCCGUGCCUUUUAACCCCUUGUCUAAUUACUAUAUUAUUUCAAAAUAUUAAUAAAAGAUAAAGCUUGUUUACAAUUAAA
Molecule: non-coding RNA, 827 nt
Organism: Onthophagus taurus
Lineage: Eukaryota; Metazoa; Arthropoda; Insecta; Coleoptera; Scarabaeidae
Source: RefSeq, a predicted model, not a curated record